Molecule: unclassified non-coding RNA, 358 nt
Filed under: soil metagenome
Description: partial contains 5.8S ribosomal RNA, internal transcribed spacer 2, and large subunit ribosomal RNA
Rfam family: 5.8S ribosomal RNA (bases 1-120)
Source: RNAcentral
GAUGAAGAACGCAGCGAAAUGCGAUAAGUAAUGUGAAUUGCAAAAUUCAGUGAAUCAUCGAAUCUUUGAACGCACAUUGCGCCCGUCAGUAUUCUGGCGGGCAUGCCUGUUCGAGCGUCAUUACGCCCCUCAAGUCCCCUGUGGACUUGGUGUUGGGGAUCGGCGAGGCUGGUUUUCCAGCACAGCCGUCCCUUAAAUUAAUUGGCGGUCUCGCCGUGGCCCUCCUCUGCGCAGUAGUAAAACACUCGCAACAGGAGCCCGGCGCGGUCCACUGCCGUAAAACCCCCCAACUUUUUAUAGUUGACCUCGAAUCAGGUAGGACUACCCGCUGAACUUAAGCAUAUCAAUAAGCGGAGGA